RNAcentral lists this non-coding RNA (31 nucleotides) under Homo sapiens (human). The record is from RNAcentral. Lineage: Eukaryota; Metazoa; Chordata; Mammalia; Primates; Hominidae.
UGGCACAGCAAGGGACAUGCCCCUAGAAUGC